Long non-coding RNA from Vespa mandarinia (Asian giant hornet), 484 nucleotides. RefSeq lists it as uncharacterized. NCBI's taxonomy places the organism in Eukaryota, Metazoa, Arthropoda, Insecta, Hymenoptera, Vespidae. The record is from RefSeq and is a predicted model, not a curated record.
AGAAAAAAAAAAUACAUUUCACUGCCCUCUAUAGUUAUUAGAACGUAUCCUAAUUAACGUAUUAGGAAUUAUUAUAAACAUAUUAAAUGGGACAAAUAUAAUACGCCUUUCAAAGUAAUAAGGAAUUUCACAUUAGUAAGGAAGAAGAGAAUUUAAAGAAAGGAAAUAUGAAAUUUUUAUCCUUACAACGCAGCUUUAAAUAUUUAAUCUAUAUAGUCUUAUCACGGAAUGACGAAAGUGAAAAAUGAUAAAAGAAUAAUGAAAGAGCAGAAAAAUAAAAAGAACAGAUCAGAAAAUUGCCUCGCUUAUAUAUAACAAAUAUUCUUUUUCUCUUCGUUUAAACGAACCUUUUUAGGCAGAAUCAAGUGGCAGGCUCAAAUACGAAUUGUUUCUAGAAACAAUUUUUAAUGUACACACUCGGCUCAUAUCUUCCAAGCGAGUAAUAUAUCUAAUUGGCUCAACACACACACACACGCGCACACAC